This 34175-nucleotide long non-coding RNA is filed under the name Citrus maxima (pomelo). RNAcentral describes it as "long non-coding RNA (CMAX_LNC003493)". Lineage: Eukaryota; Viridiplantae; Streptophyta; Magnoliopsida; Sapindales; Rutaceae. The record is from RNAcentral.
AAGCACCCAAUUAUGAUCAUCAUAAUCCACUCGCCACACAUAGUAACCAAGCAAUCUCUUCUCUUUGGCAUAGGCGAUCUUAGCUCUAACAGCCUCCACAUCAUCAAAACCAAACCAAACCGCCCCAGUGGAGAAGUAAUUCACCACAUAAGUUGAAUUGUACAUAACUUGAACAUUAGGAGCAUAGUUCUUGAUGUGAUUCUUGAUAGUCCUAUAGGUCACAAGGCCAUCAUUAGUCAAAGCUGGUCCUGCUGCUGCUGCUCCAAUACCAUUGUCUUCAGGUUUCACAAGCCUCCAUGCAUAGCCAUAGAAAGGCAAAGACAUAGCCAACUUAUCAGCCGAUAGCCCUCUCUCAAUCCAUGCCUUUAAAACCUGAUCGGUACUUUUAGCAAAGCCGCCGCUACUUGAGCCAUGGAGAGCCGCAGGUGGCGCAGUGAAGUUUGUUGACAAAGGCUCGUAGUAGUGUUCAGUAGCAACAUGAACCCAAUUCAAGUUUCGUUGCAUCGAAUUCACAAGGUACGAAUUGUCUGGUGGUGAAUAAUGAAACCUUGCGGUCAGGAUCAGCUGGGAUUGCUGGCGGUUAGAGCUUUUUGCCUCUAAUUUUGUGGCAGCAGCUCGCCACUCGUCGAAAAGUAAACCAAUAUUGAGCAUAUCGGUGCUUGUGUUAGGAGAUGUCCAAGCAAAGUCUAGGCCCUUAAAGCCAUAAAGCCUAGCUAUUCUUAUUGAAGAGUCGAUGAAAGAUUUCCUGUGAGAAGAAUUUCUCACCAUUGAAGAAUAUAUAGAAUAGUUUGUAUUUCUUCCUUGUCCAAUGGAGAGAAGUGCAGUGAUUGAUGGGUUCUUUUGUUUCAUUUGUUUCACAGUGCCUGUAAAUUUGGGGAAUAUUUGAUUUCCAUCAAAUGGUGAUGAUAAAGAUAGCUGGUAUGUGGUGGAAUUGAUAUCAGCAGAAGAGCAAAUAAGGUGAGUGAAGAGAUCAUAAUUUAUGCCCGAAAUGGCGGAAACAUCGCCUGAAUACAAGUAACCGACCCUGAUCCACGGUUUUGCUUUCGCGGGAUGAAAUUCUGAAUAGAAAAACAUGUGGAAGAUGAUGCUGAUAAUUAUGGAUGCCAUUUGAGAGGCUUAAGCUUCUUAAUUAUUACCACUUCGAAGGGAAUGGAAAUGAAUGCACACUAAGAGAAAUUAAAUAAACACAAGUUUCACAGUUCAUUAAGUUCUUAUGUGUACUAUUAACGUAUAGGUUCAUUUCGUUGCCCAAAAAAAAUCUUAUGUACUCCUGAUAGGGACACACACAUUGCAUGUUAAGAUGAUGAUAGGCGAUGCGACCAUUGCCUAAGAACUAAGAUUUUCUUCUAUCGCCUGGGUGACUUUUCAUGAAGAAAAAUAAUGUUUUGAUUGACAUUUGGUUAAACUGAUGACAUAUUUCGGGCUACAAAUAUCAGUAUUGUUUUAUUAAAUAAUAAAAAUAAUAAUUUUACGUGCAUGUUGAAGGUUAUAUUGCAGUCUUUUGAGCCUGUGUUGAAUUUCAUUCGUGUGCGUUCAUUUAUUAUCCAUCCCCUUUUUUCUCUGAGUCUGCUAGCCGUAGUCAUCUUAAAAGGAUAACAUGUUUAAUGCGUGUAAAUGCACCUCAUAAGUAGUUAAGAAAGAUUUGACCAAACCAGAUAAUUUUCCUCUUAACACAGAAGUAGUUAUCGGACUAAUUAAGAUUCUAAUCCAUUUAAGAAAUAUUCAAAAAGGGUUAUUGUCACUACUUUAGUCCUUGUUGUUUUAUUAAAGAAAAAAAAAAGAUAUUUAAAGAAGCAUCACAUAAAUCCUUCCUAAUUACAUUUUGUUUCAUUCAAGUUCUUGACUUAAUUUGACUGCUUGGAAAAAUUAGUAAAAAGGUAAAAAUGAAAAAAAAAAUGUAAAUUCCAGUUAUUAGACUAAAUAUAUAUAAAUUUGCAACAAGUAGCAAAAGUUUAGAAUAUGAAAAACCCUAUUUUGUUUACGAAAUAAAGGAAAUUCGAAUCAUUUUCAAAAAAAAAAUCUCUAAAAGUUUGAAAACUAAGAUUUUAAGGUCCUUCUAGACUAACCAUAAAUAACAUGAAUUUACCAAAUUAAGCAAACUCGAAUUAUUAUUACACAAUAAAAUUUUACUAAUGGAAAUAAGAAAACAAAAUAAAUAACACUCAAAUUCGAUGUCUAAAAAACAAAGAUAAAAAUCAUGAGAGCAAUAGAAAAAAAAUAAAAUAAACUAAAACUUGCAAAAUGACCAUGAAAGAAAUAAAUUUUUUUGCUGAACCAAGGGGCCGAUACAUAUAGCCUUAUUGUACUAGAUUCAUCUCACUGCAAGUUUCAAAACAAUAUAUUAUAUGUCUUAAACAAACUCUUGUAAAUUAAGUUAUGACCUUAAAAAAUAUCCUACUCAUCUUACAUAAAUAUCCUAUGUCACUAUAUAGCUAUACAAUAAUAAUAUAAUCCAAACACUUAUGGAGCAUAACUCACGCACCUCCAUUAAUAACCGUGAAAUUUACUCACAUUUUAUAAGAGAGAGGAAUGUUCUCAUUUAUUGGGGAUUAAACCAAAUAGUCUAUCUUCGAUAUUUCUGCUAGGUUGUGUCAGGUUGGGCUUUUUAGAAUUUCUUUGACGAAAAGUCAUUCUCUUCAACAGCCAAAUCUUGGGCCAGUGGGCAAUUAUGAAAGUCCAUUGGAUGCAUUGGACCAAACUAAACGUACAAUUUUUUUUUUCUUACAAAAAAAAAAUUAGAGUUGGACUAUUGACACCCCUCUCAUCUCCUCAUAAAACCCCCUUUUUAGUUAUAUUUAUUUUAUUUUAGAAAAUGCCCUUUUUUAGAUACACGUUUCUAAGUUUUUAAUUUUCAUUUGAUUUGUUUUAUUGUUAAAACUCAAAGUAUUAUUGUGUUAUUUUUUAAUUAUUUUCAAUUUUAUUAUUAAUCUACAUACAAAUUAAAAAUUUAUAUGGGUGAUAAGUUUUUUAGUGUUAAUCAUUGGUUGAAAUAACACAUAUUUCAAAUUAUAAUUUCAAAGCAAUUUUAAGUAUAAAAAUAUUUAAUCAAUAAGAAAUCAAAAGAGAAUAAUAGAUUAUUCUAAAUUUGUACAAUUUAUUUUAGUUAAAUAGGAAGUAAAAUAUAAAUUUUUUUAAAAAAUGAUUGAUUAUGAAUUAAGUAAUUUGCUGGGAAAAAAAAUCUAUAUAUGUUUAAUUUUCAAUUGUCUUUAAUUGUAAUUUUAUUUAAAGUGGUGUUUUGUAAGAAUAAUGUAGGGGUGCCAAUAGCUCCACUCAAAAAAUUAUAUCUAUAUAUUCUCUUCAACAACCUAAAACUGGGCCAAUGGGCAAUUAUGAAGUCCAUUGGAUGUAUUGCACCAAACUAAAAGUCCAAUUUUUUUUAUUACUACAAUAUAUAUAUAUAUAUAUAGUAGUUUUCUAAUUAGGGAUUCCUGACUUUAAUAAAGUCAUGGAUCAGCUAAAAGACAAAUAUACAGUGCAUUGGAGUCUGUGUUUAUUUUGUCUUUUAGCUAAUUCCUGAUUUUAUUAAAGUCAGGGAUCCCUGAUUGGAAAACUACUAUAUAUAUAUAUAAACAAAUGUUUUAAUUUAGAAUUUUAAAGUGCGGGAUAGUAUAUAUAUAUAUAUAUAUAAACAAAUGUUUUAAUUUAGAAUUUUAAAGUGCGGGAUAGUCUGGAAUAUGCAGUUUUAAAAACUUAAAACUGUAAGCCUUUAAAACCAUACAAUUUUAAAUUUUUCUCAAAUUUUCUCGUACUUUAAAAUUUCAUACUAAAAAACUACUACAUAUAUCAAUAAAUGAAAUGACACAAUACAGUUGGCUUGCCGUUGCAAAGCCUCUUUGUUUGUUAUUAUUUAUUGGCUUAUUGCAAUAAAGACUAAAGAGAGCUUUGAGCCAUGCAGCAUGGGAAGCUACAUUAAAAAAUAAAAGAAUUUAAAGCUUCAAGGGCAUAAAGCGUGCCCACCCAAUUAAAUUUUUCUUUAAAAAAGAAAAAAAAAGGCUGCAAUUGCAAUGACUUGAAUUUAUCAUCAAUUCUGGCUUAAUUUGCCCCCGUCAUUUUUUCAAGGAGAAUGUCCAACUCAAUUGUGACGGCUACUGCUUCAAUUUUAAUUUUAUUUUUCUCAAGAAUAGUCAUUUUCAUCCACCAUAUUCCUGCAUCCUGAUGCGUCCUUAUUGCUUAUAUUAUUAUAGACCACUUUUGGAAGCAUAACAAAUUUUGCACACAUGGUAUCCAUCUUGCGGACCCAAAUGUUGAUGAUAUACUUGCAUGCUGCAAAAUAAGCCCUUUUAAUAACUUAUCAUCUGGUAAAUGAUAGUUUAUUUAUUUAUUACAUAACAAAUAUGUUAUGCCAUAUGCCACCUAUUAGUGAAAGAUGUUUAAAUAACUACUCUUGUAGUAAACUCCUGAAUGAUGGCAAGUUAGAUUUAUACUUAAUGCACUAACUUCGAUAUUAUUUUUUUUUUACAUGGUAAUUAUUUUCUUCUCGCUAGGAAGUUGCAAUGAUUGAUAAUAAGGGAGCAUUUUGCUUUAUAUACAAUCCUUAAUAGAAGAUUUUCUAGAGAUGUUUAUUAUUAUUAUUAUUAUUAUUAAUCCCGCGUUGGUCAGGAUUUGAUUACUAUAAUAUUGACGAUUCGAUUUCUAACAAUUUUGUUUAUUAUAAAAUUAAAACAAAUGAGUAGUCAUCUAGAAAAUCAUAAUCUCUUUAAAGGCAUCAAAAGGCAAUGGCAAUGUAAAGUGAAUGUGCAUGAAUCUAUUAGUAACAUGUUUGCACGUGUAUUAAUCUUAAAAUAGUCAGUCUUGAAUAUUCCUGGAGGUAUAAAAGCCCUUGAGUUAUCCCUUCAAUGAUAUGAACACGUUUUUUCCAAUCCAAAAUAAGUCUUCUGAUGGGAUCUACAACAAAUAUAUAGUUUUGGACAAUAAGUGAUAUGCAAAUGAAUUUUAUACACAAUUAAUAUUAACUUGAUUUCAGAACAAACCAAAAAGGUAGCAAUCCAAGCUUUUGUUUGGCAUGUAUUCGUAGACCAGCAUCCGUUCCUCACUGUCAAUGCAAAAACCUAAAACUCUAAUAAGAUUUACAUGUUGGAGUUUUGCAGUAAGAAUAACCUCAUUCUUAAACUCCUCAAAUCCCUGUGCGGAUGAUUUCGAAAGUUUCUUCACUGCUAUCACCACUCCACAGGGUAAUACACCCUGCAACCCAAAAAAAAAACCACGUUCAUAUAAAGCUUUCACUAAUUAGAGACGCUGAGAAAUGUUAGCCAAACAAUAUGCUACCCCCCAAAGUUGAGGGCACCAUUUUAAGUCCUUUAAGUCCCCAUGGACGCAAAAUGUAAAUCUCCUCUCACAGAAUAUGGAUAUGGGUAGAGGUAUCUUCCUCAAAUGUUAGUCGAAGUAGUUAUAUCCCUCUAGUGUGAGGUUAGAGGUCUCAUCUCUAAUAGGCAUAGAGUUUUAAAUUAUAUGUUUUGGGCCUCUGAAUUCUACGACGAGUGUACAAAUUCAAACUUCCGAUAGGAUCCAAAUUGCAACAUUGUGGAUUGUAACAAAUUAAAAUAUAGGUACACACACACACACAUGUUACCUUGUAAACAGGACCAUAUCCACCCUCCCCAAGGUUAUUUCUAAUUGAAAAUCCCUCGGUGGCCGCCUCAAUAUCAGCCAAACUAUAUACUCUGAGAUUAGGAACAUUUCUGUUAAAGUCUCCAGCUUCUGUUUCAUUAUUUUCUCUCGUGUUUGAUGCUUUAGCAGAAUCCUCUGUUCCUAACAUCAACCAAGAGUAAAUAUUAGAUAAUUAAUUGUAUGUCAGCCUAAGUUUUAUAUAUAUAUGAAAUGCAUGCUUAAUUAUAAUUGGUAGCUGAAGCUUGUUACCUUCUAUUAACUUGAGCCUUUUCAUCUGGUUGUAUUUAUAUGCACAACAACUUAGAAGGAGAGUCAAAGCUGCCGCUGCAGUCGAAAUGAGUACCAAGGACAGAUGGCGGUUAUUACUAUGUUCAUCUUUGUCAGCUGAAGCAGAAGUAAUGCUGUCUUUUUGUGCAGGAAAUAUGUAUAGUUCACCAAUUAAUAAUAACUAGCUAGAGAUGCCAUAAAAAUCAAUAUUUAUUGGAGAGAACAAUUAUUGCAUAUAUAAAUACCUGCAGCUUGAGAAAGCACCCAAUUAUGAUCAUCACAAUCAACUCGCCACACAUAGUAACCAAGCAAUCUCUUCUCUUUGGCAUAGGCAAUCUUAGUUCUAACAGCCUCCACGUCAUCAAAGCCAAACCAAAUCGUCCGAAUCGAGCAGUAAUUCACCUCAUAAGUUGAAUUGUACAUAACUUGGACAUCAGGACCAUAGUCCUUGAUGUGAUUCUUGAUUUCCUUAUAAGUCGCAAGGCCGCUAUCAUACAAAGCUGGUCCUGUUGCUGCUGCACCAAUACCAUUGUCUUCAGGUUUCACAAGCCUCCAUGCAUAGCCAUAGAAAGGCAAACACAUAACCAACUUAUCUGCCGAUAAUCCUCUCUCAAUCCAUGCCUUUAAAACCUGAUCGGUACAUCUAGCAAAGCCGCCGCUACUUGAGCCAUAGAGAGCCGCAGGUGGCGCCGUGAAGUUUGUUGACAUAGGCUCGCAGUAGCUAGCAGUAACCGCAUGAACCCAAUUCAAGUUUCGUUGUAUCGAAUUCAAAAGAUAUGAAUUCGCUGGUGGUGAAUAACGAAAUCUUGCGGUCAAAAUCAGCGGGGAUUGCUGGCGACUAGAGUUUUUUGCCUCUAAUUUUGUAGCAGCAAUUCGCCACUCGUCAAAAAGUAAACCAAUAUUGAACAUAUCGGUGCUUGUUUUAGGAGCUGUCCAAGAAAAGUCUAGGCCCUGAAAGCCAUAAAGCCUAGCUAUUCUUAUUGAAGAGUCGAUGAAAGAUUUUCUGUGAGAAGGAUUUCUCACCAUUGAAGAAUAAAUAGAAUAGUUUGUAUCCUUUCCUUGUCCAAUGGAGAGAAGUAUAGUGAUUGAUGGGUUCUUUUUUUUCACGGUGUCUGCGAAUUUGGCGAUUUGAUUUUCAUCGGAUGGUAAUGAUAAAGAUAGCUGGUAAGUGGUGGAAUUGAUAUCAGCAGAAGAGCAAAUAAGGUGAGUGAAGAGAUCAUAAUUUAUGCCCGAAAUGGUGGACACGUCGCUUAGAUCCAAGUGACCGACCCUAAUCCACGGUUUUGCUUUCGCGGGAUGAAGUUCUGAAUAGCAACGUGUGGAAGAUGAUGCUGAUAAUUAUGGAUGCCAUUUGAGACUUUGUUAGGAAUGGAAAUGGAUCCGCAGAAGAGAAAUUAGAUAAACACUAGUUUCACAGUUCAUUUAAGUUCUUAUGUAAACUAUUAACGUAGAGGUUCAUUUCGUUCAGAAAAAAAUCUUAUGCGCUCCUGGAUAGGCACAUACAUUGCAUGUUAAGAUGAUGAUAGGCGAUGCGACCAUUGCCUAAGAACUAAGAUUUUCUUCCGUCGCUUGGGUUGGCUGACUUUCCAUGAAGAAAAAUGAUGUUUUGAUUGACAUUUGGUUUAACUGAUGACAAAUUUCAGGCUAUAAAUAUCAGUAUUGUUUUAUUAAAUAAUAAAAUAUAAUAAUUUUACAUGUACGUUGAAAGUUAAUAACUUAAUAUUGCAGUCUUUUGAGACUGUGUUGACGUUUAUUCGGGUGCAUUCGUUUAUUAUAUAUUCCCGUUUUUCUCCCUGUGUGUUUGCUACAGUGCUCUUAAAAGAAUAACAUGUUUUUUUUCGACAAUAAAAGAAUAACAUGUUUAAAGCAUGUAAAUGCACCUCAGAAGUAGUUAAGAAAGACUUGAUAAAAAACCAGACAUUUUCUCUCUACUCAAAAAGUAGUUAAGACUGUAUGAACCAAUUAAAACGUCAGAUUCAUACUAUAACUAUGAUGAUUCAAUAAGACCUUCAAACUAAAUCCACAGAUUCCAUGAGUAAGAAACAAUGGAUCACAUUUUUUUAAGUUUAUGCUUUGAGUAAAAUAAAAGUAGAAACAUGAAUUUGAAAGAAGCAAUUUAGUUAUAAAAAAUUGUCAAGUAAUUAAUUGUUUGGCAUUUAUUUUAUGGGUCCCAACCCAUGUGAUCCGUAAAAUGAGACACCUUAUGUGAUUGGGUGCGCCAUGGUGCGCUAACCUCAUAUAAGCUUCUCUCUUCUUACGGAUAUAACUGUAUAUGGGUGGCAUUAUGUAGUGCCCCACAUGGGCUCUUUAAAAUUAUUUUAUGUGCAUUUUAAACAUUCCCUCGUUAUUGAUUUGAAACACUAAAAAUGCCUCUCUUAAAUUUUAAAAAUAUAUAAAAAAAAUUGCGUGUUUAAAGAAUGCUUGAUGUCUCUAGCCUAACAGUUAGCACACCUAUUGUAUACACUUUUACUUUUUUCUUCUCUAAACUUUCACUCCUCUUUUCUCUGAUUCUUCACACUUCACUGAUCUUUUAUCUCUAAAAAAAUUAAACUGUCUCUAGAAGCUUAUUACUAAUUUUCUGAUCUAAUUAUUUACAUAAGUAUUCUUGAUUGAUUAUCACUUCUUUAAUUUUUUGAGGGGGAUUUCUCUUGGAUGAAAGAAUUAAGGUUAUGUUCUAAGAAAAUUUUAACUCCCAUGUUAUAGUUUUGAUAAUGAGAUUAUCCUUAAAUUUUCAAUAUAUGAAAAUACUUCGAAACAACUAUUAAUUCGUUGAAUGAAACAUCCUAAUGAACUUAGAUUUUGGUACUUAUUAUUUAUUGAACUUUUUCUUUUAAAUUACAUUACUAUUUGAAGUGUGGCGGUAUAUGGUCUCUAGUCCAAAUGACGAAAUCAAAUCACCAUGUGCAUUAGUGUUUUGUUUGUGUGGUUGGAGGGGGGGGGGGGGGGGCGGUGUUUUUUAUUGGUGCAGGAAGAAAGCUCUUCAGGACUACUCGGAAAAAUAUAUAUAUAUAUAUGAGCAACACAUAGUCCAUUUCGCAUUGCAUAGAAGUAAAACCGAAGCAUUACACAAAAAGCACACGUUAUUUAUAUUUUUAGUUAUUGAUAAGAAAAUUUUUUCCCUCUUAUUAUCAUCUUAAUUAAGAAAAAUAGUAAUUCGUUUAACUGUUUGCGAAAAAUGAUGGCAAUAUACAAUAAUAUUGUGUUGAUGACCUUGAAAGCUAAUUCUUUUGAAACAGGAAAACUGGUAUCGUAUUCAAAACACAUAAAAGACGUAUCCAAGCUUUUAAUGUGAUCUAAAGAUCUCAUAGCUACAUUCGAAAUUAAUAAAUGAUCCCUAAGAGUUACGAAACUGAUAUCAAUGAAAUUACAAACUCUUAAGAGUUUAUAGAACAUUAAUUGAUCCAAAUCCAAUACAAACUGCUUACUAGUACAGCCUCAAGAGAGCCAUUUAUUUUUCAGUAGGCAAAUUAAGCAACUGCAGCAGUCACUAGCAGCUUGCCAAGAGCUAGCAUAGAUCAAUUGUUCAUCUUCAUAAGCUUUCUUUGAGAAAGUUUCAAGCUUCUUUGGAGUCAUUAUAUCGGCUGUGUUCUCGUUUUUGAGCAUCGAAUAAACUUCCAGCAUAGAAGGUCUACCGUUUGGGUUCUCCUGAACACAUAACAAAGCUAUUUGCAGACAUGUCAAUAAUUUCCAUGAGGAAUGCGCAUCAUCUAGUGAUGGAUCCAUUAACUUUAUGCCUUUCCCAUCCUUCCACAACUUGUAGGACUGAAAACAUCAAAUAUGUUAUUGAGUUACAUUCAAUUAAAUAGCACUAUAAAGUUUUGACCAAUUGUGCAUUAUAAAGGGGGUUAUACAGAAACUUACAUAGUGUACAAGGCUUAAAUUUUCAUUAUGACCAUAUUAAAUAAAAAAUCUCCUUCCAUUUAUAAUUUGCAAAAGUAAAAUCUCAAAACUGUAGACAUCAUAUUUAGUAGAGUAGAUGCCUCUUCUACAUACCCAGGAGGGAUGUAGCCAUUGUGGUACCGAUUAAUUACAAACGUCAUUGAAAUUGUUUGACCUAAAAGAUUAAGUUGAUUGGUAAAUGUUUAACAAUAGUAUUAAAGAUAAGUCGAAGAAAAUAGACAUAUAUAUACUUACUGUGUUCCAACAAUUCGAUUUGUGUUUGCUUCAAGAUCAUCUUUCACAAAAAUUCUAACGAAGUCAAAAUCUGAUAUUUUUGGUUUCAAAUCUUCAUCCAACAAAAUGUUACUAGCUUUCAAGUCUUAAUGAAUAACUAUUAAUCUAGAAUAUUCUUGAAGAUAGAAAAGCCCUUGAGUAAUUCCUUAAAUGAUAUGAAUGCAUUUUUUCCAAUCCAAAAUAAACCUUCGGAUGGGAUCUACAUCAAAUAUAAGUAUAGUUGGACGGUCUGUAGCAUUAGCAUUUAGAAAUGAGAAAUGCAAAUAAAGGAUUUCGUAAAUGAAGAAUUGCUCGCUGGAAGAAUAAGUUGAAUAAUCUGCAUUUCCUCCUCCGAUGGAAAGAAGGGUAGUGAUUGUUAGGUUCUUUGUUUUCAUAGUGUGUGUGAAGUUGAAGAAUUGUUCCUCAUCAGAAGAUGACAAAGAAAGUUUGUAGGACGUUGGAUCGACAUAAGCGAAACCACAAAUAAGGUGAGUGAAGAGAGCACAUUAUUUAUAUCUAAAAUGGGGAAGCCAGGCCUGGUUCCCAAAUACUAGCUCUGAUUAAAGUUUUUGCUUUUGCAGGAAGCGAUUCUGAAAAUAUAAAAAUCUGGAGGACCUAAGUGACAAAUUUGGAUGCCAUUUUGGAAAGCCAGCUGCCUGAAACAUGCCCAGUCUGUAUGUGUUUUUAUACACACACACAGAAAUUAUCCUAUAUUGACCGAGAUUAGUUAUGGUCCUAAAUAAUAUAUGUUUUAAGCAACCCUUAACCCAUGAGUUAAAGUUUAUAAACAGUAUCAGAGUCAGGUUAUGGACAAAUGCGCUUAUAUUACCAGACUAAAAUAUCAGCGUGCAUUUGAUGGAAUGAUAGGAAAAAUAUCCCACCUUAGUUAAGAUUAGUUACUAAGUUAAUAAUAUAAGAUUAAGGCAAUCUUCCACUCAUAUAACGCAAGAGUAUGAAUCACAAUUUAAUAAAACUAGGUCAAUUCGAUUUUUUAUAAAGAUAUAUGAGCUACAACUUGAGGUCGCUCACGAGUGGGGACGAGUUAGAUUAAGGCAAUCUUCAACUCAUAUAAUGUUGAUCAUGGACCGAAUCAACAUAGGAAACAAAAGUCGAGGAAGUUGAAUCUCCUUGCCUUCAAGUUGCAUGGAUGGGAGUCAUACAACGAAAAGGUUGUCUUCGUUCAAUGACGAUCGGCUUGAAGUUCUUAAAUUAAGCUACGGCGUUUGCCUCCACUUAGCUUGACUUCUGAAGCUGGAGACUCUUCCUUUUGUAUUGGCUUCGUUGGUACUUAAAUUACCUCGGAGUCUCGGAUGUGUUUCUGAAGCCAUGUCAUUGUCUACGAGUAGAAUUUUUUUUUUUUUUUUUUUUUUUGGGGGGAAGAAAGAGGAAGUCUAUCGGAAAAGUAGUAAAAUGAUAUUUUUUGUAAAGAUAUAGUAGGAAAAUGAUAGGGAGCAAUACUUCUUGUAGUCAUUUGAUAUUUGUCAAAUUUUAAAGUAGUGAAAUGAUAAUAACCCAAAAAAAAAAACAAAACGUUUUUCAAUCAAAAACAAAAAUAAAGAAAUAAAUAGACAAUCCCAUGUAUAAAAAGCUAACCGGGAAUGGUGAAGACGACACUGACAUCCUCCGUUUCUCUAUUAAGCUACUUCAAGUGUUUAAGGUUUUUGAUAAUUAUAGAAAUUAAGAAAUAACAUGAAGAAGAAUGAUCAAUUAGGGGAAGUGAUUGAAGUUGAUGUGGGUUUGGACGGUGGAUGAUGAAAGCUGACUUUGUUUUGUUAUGUAAAAUCAACGGUGCCCAAAAGGCUGUUCUGACGCAGAUGCUUCACUUCCUUGCAUACUGCUGUAGAAAAAAAUGGUUUUUUUCUAUCUAAAGGUUAAUAGUUUAGUUUGGUGAAAAAGAAUUUUAAGUACAGUAAAAUUUUUAUAAAUUAAUAAUUUUCUAUCAUAUAAAAUUUAUUAAUUUAAAAGAAGUAUUAAUUAAUCUAUAUUAAUAAUUUAUCAAUUUAUAAAGUGUAUAUACAAUUCGAUAAACAUACAUUUUAAUCAAUUAAAAUUCAUUGUAUUUUACCAAUCUAAUAAAUUAAAAAUGAAUUAAUCUACUAAAUAUAAAUUAAAUUAAUAAAAAAAUUUAUAAUUCUUACAAUUUCAAAAUUCAACCCUUAAACUUCUAGAAGUGAUACGCAUAGCAUUACUCAAUUUAAAUUCAACCCUUAAAAUCAUGGCAAGAGAAUAGUGAAGAAAAAAGAAAAGAAAAGGAAAAAACAAACUCACAAACACUUAGUUAUCGACCUCUAUGGCCUAUGCCACUGGCCUGUAGAACUAACUCCCUCAGAAAUGAUUUCAAGUUCCUGUAAUUUUCUGUAUAAAAUGAGAGCAUUUUCCUCUUUAAAGCAGGGGCAGUAACAGUGUCACAAUAGAAAGCAUUCUGAUGGUAAGAUUAAGUAGUAUUGUGAUUUUAAUUGGGGGGAAAAUGUCCCAUACGCUUAUUUCCUUAUGUGAUUUAGAUUCAAGUCAAGACGACCCUCCAUUUUAGUAUAAAAGUCUAUACAAAUGUACGUUUUACUCAAUGUUUACGUAGAAACAAAUGAUUUGCUGAUUUAGUACCACUCUUGUUUACUGGGUGGGAUUUGGCUCCUCCAAAUUUGUAGCCAAUAUUUUACUUUGAUGAGAAAAUCAAAUAACGUUUCAACAAAUAAUUUUUCUUUUCUACGUACUUUCUUAAAACGUAUGGAGUGAGUAAAGUACAAAUUGAUUUUUUAGCCCUUUGACUCUUCCAUAUUCAAACUCAAAUUAGUGGUCUGUUAAAUAUUGCUACUUAAAAUCAUUCAGCCAAAUAUUGUAAAAACUAUAAUUUCACAAAGUCAAAGUUUCAUUGAUUAUUGAAUUGUAGAGUGUGCUAUCAUUUCCUAGCUAAAAAUUUGUUUAGUUCUAUUAAGUUUCAAUCAUUUUUUAUUUUAUUUAAUUAAUUAAAGUGAAUUUAUUAUGUAUAAAUGCUAUUUAUGUGAAAUUUUAAAAUCCAGUGCUAAAUUGAAUUGUACUAAAUUUUUAUAAUUUUUUGUCACACCUGCAUUUCUAACAGUUUAGUAUAAAUAUUGAGAGCAAAUAGUAUAUAGGAUUAAAAGAGAUUGAUUUCGAGUGCUACAAGAUUUUUAGGAUUGCAUGCGCAAGGGUUUAAAAACAAAGUGUGCAUUUAAUUACACUAAACGUAGGUGCAUUUUUAUGAUGAAAUAAAAACUGGUUGUAUAAAUGGCUCCAUAAUUAGUGUACUUAAUAUCCAUCUAGCUAUCACUUCCGAAAAUGAUAUCAGAAGCCGAACACAUUUCCAACUGUAUUUUAGAUAAUAGUUCAAUCCCAAUUUCGUCAACUUGUUUUGAGAAAGCAGGCUUCUUGGGAGAAUUUAUAUUUCGUCAACUUGUUUCGUCAAUUUGUGCAUAUAAAUGUCUAUCAUUUGGAUUCUCCUGGACACACAACAAAGCUAUAUCCAGACGUCUCAUUAAUUUACAAGUGAAAUUUGUAUAAUCUCGUGAUGAAUCCACAAACUCCAUAUAUAUUUUUUUUUUUACCACGAGGUAUCAUGGGGAGGGCCCCAACUGUGGGAGGCACCUUUAAGUCCGUACCACAACUCAGACUAGAAGUCCCCGCUCGAACCGAGAGGCACAGGUUCUCCCAACAAAGGCGACUUCCCUACGACUUGAACUGGGGAGCAAACCCAGUCAAGCCAUUUAAGGGGACUCCAUUGCCAGUGGAGCCAACACUUUGUUGGUUAAACUGGAUAUUUUAUCUUGCUACAAACUCCAUAUUUUCACAACUCAUAUGCCUGAAAUUAUCAAGUAUUAUCUUGCUACAUAUUUUAUACUACUUAGUUAAGUGCAUAUAUAUAUAUAUAUAGACACAUACACACACACACACUAAAGGUUACUAUAGCCAAAGAAAUUUACAUGCUCUAGAAGACUUAAAUUUCCAUCGAUGCCACAUAGGCACAUAACAUAAAAAGACUUUUCCCAGUUAUCAUUCGUAAAAGUAAGACUUCAAAACUAAAAAUGUUUGAUUCGGUAGAGUAAACAUCUCUAUGAGUGUAUUUAGGAGGAAUAUAACCUCUACAUUUGAAAAUAACCAACACUCACUACUACAAAAAUGACUUUUACUGACACUUUGUUUCUGACACUUUGAAAAAAGUGUCAGUAAUUACCUAACUAUGCACAAUUUUCCGCUUUUAACAAAUAAAUGUCACAAAUUAUUAAUACUAAUGUAUCAGUAAAUUAAAUAUUAGAGAUCACUGAUACUUCAGCAUCAGAGAUCUAAAAAGAAUCAUUAAAAUUUGUUUUGAUUUUAACUCGAACCUGGGAUUUCUAAAACUCAAAACUUUUACGUUUAGAUUGCAAACCACUGGACCCCAUAAAAUUGAGUUGGAAUUACAAUGUUAUAUAAAAUAUUAACAUAUAAAAAACCAAACCCUAAUUCCCCUUUUCCAUUGUGCAAUAGAGCCCAUGCCGCAGCUGCUGCGUAAUUUCCUUGCCUUUCUUGACUUCUUCUUCUCUAUCGUGAAAGAUGGAGAAUGACCAGGCCCAAACGCCCACGCCCACAGCCGCGCCCAACCCCCACGGCUGCGCCCACCCCCACGCCGUUGCCACUAUCACUUCCGUUCAAGUGGUUCGACACUGCAGGUACUAAAUUAAGAAUUUAAAACAUGUAAAACGAAAGUAAAACAUAUCCCAAACUUAGCAAUUGUCCCCAUCUCCCUGUCUUUUAUACACACAAAUCUCUAACCCAAACUCAAACCCAAAACUGUCUCUUGCCUUUCUCUUUCUCUUUCCUUUUUCUCUUCUCGAUCUCUUCCUUUUUUUUCUGUCCAUUCACAAACUCGUUCAUUUAACUUAAAUAGAUAAUAUAAAGCUAAAACCCUAAGUGAGGCUUUUAUUCCCUUUUUCCUUUUUUUUCCCAAAUUGAAAAACGGACCAAAACCGUAAUCGAGGCUUCUUUUAUCAAUUUUUUUUCUUUUUAUGGUCAAAUUUCACUUUUUUUUUGUUCAAUAUUCAAAACCCAUUUGCUUGAAUUUGAAUAAAAUUAUUGAGAAAUUAGUUAAUUUUCUUGCUAUGGAAGGGAUACCACACCUUAUACGUAGACCUGUGAAGGAGAUUUUCAAUGACUUUAAGGGCAAACAGGUUGCCUUGAUUAAGGCUUUAACUGCUGGUAAUGGCUUAAUAUUUUAUUUUCUUUGUCAAAUUAAUUAAUAAUUUUUUUUUAUUUUAGCUUAUCAUUAUUAGGGUUUUUUGUUAAUUUUAAUUUUCUGGGUUGUUGCAGAUGUUGAGAAAUUCUGCCAGUGGUGCAGUCUUGGUGGGAUUUCUUUUCCAUAUCUAUUUUUUGUUUAUUUAAUUGUAAUUUGAAUUUUUUUCUUUUUUUUCCUAUAUUUCUAUAUUAUAUAGAUUGAAUGGCUGUGUAUUUCAUAAUUAUUAAGUGUUAUUUAUUGCUCUGUUUCAUGUAAAGAUAGGCAAAUUAUGUUAUAGAAACCAACAUGUUUAUUUUUUUAUUUUUUUUAGUUGGAAGAUUUUUAAUAGAGACAAUGACUAUGAUAUGAAUUAACUAAGUUCAUGAUUUGUCUUUAAUUCAAGAAGAAAAUGCUUGUUUUUAGGUAGUUUUGCUUGUUGUAGCACUUGAAGACUUACAUUUUCUUUGUUCAUUUGCACGGUUAGUUUCGCUCUUAUUCAGAAAUUUCUGUGUUUCCUCACUUGCAUGGUCAUUAAUUCAUUCCAUGAUUUUUCUUCUGUAAACACACUUUUAUUUUCCUUUCACUAGUUUGAAGGAAUUUAUUUUUUUAAAAUAAAAAAUUCUAAAGAUUGAAAUGAAUUGAAAUUGUUGCUAUAAUGUACUUUCUUUGCUGCUGAAGUUCAAGGAAUGUCUAUUUAAAUGAACUAGAACUUGAAAAAUCUUGAAGUGUUGUUGUACCCAUAGACUUCAUUUUUUUUCCUGCACAUUACACUUAUUUUGUUCAUCUUCUUACCUUCAAUUUGUCGUAGAGGUUAACAAUGAUUGACGAGAAAUGGAGGUUUGCAUUUACUGCGGCUGAAUCUCAUGAACAAGAAGUUGGCAAACUGAGGUCUGUAUUUUUUCCUCAAAUUCAUAGUUGAAUUCAUAGUAAGCUCAAAGCAAUUGAUUGAGGGAGAAAAUAAAUUGAGUUUUAUUUAUUAGUAUAAUUUUUGUUAUUUAGUGCUUUACACUCUUCAUGACAACUUCUGCGAUCUUGUCCUAUUACCUUAAGGUACUACUGGAUAUUUGAGAAAAAAUUAAAAAUUAUUAAGAUUAUCUUUCUUUGAUGAUAGAAUUACAAUAUGUCUUCUCACUUAUUAUAGUUCAUCCAAUUUUAUUUUUGUUGCACAGUCUGUGGAAAUCAGAGUACCACAUUUAAGAGUUUUUAUAAAAUGUCUCCUUUACCUUUCCUAUUAUUUAAACUAAUUUCAUGUGUAUUUCUUUAGUUAAUGAUUGAUUUUCAAGUAGUUGAAGGAAAGUAACUUGUAGAACCUCCUUCUAAAAUUGGUCUGGAACCUUUGUGUGCAAUGGUUAGUGAAAUCAUAAUCCGUGGCUUGUGUUAAUAUGCAUCGAUUGUGUGAAAACUAUUGUUUACUAUUUUCUGUGGCUGGUUAUUAACAUGAUUCACAGAUAAACAACAAUAGACUCAUACCCAUAUGCUUGCUUGUUUUCAACAAGCAUUUUUUUUUUGUAGGUUUUUUUUUUGUGCGUCUCUCUUUGAAGAAUAAUAUGAUUAUCUUACACGAAAUGGGGAAAUUCCAUUAUCUUGCUGCAAGUUUUUUCCUAGUUCUAUAGUUCUACCGUUUUGUAUCACCUUGGAUGACAUGUCGAGUGAAUCCUGGAACAUCAUUUUAUCUUGUUUGUACCUAUAAUACGUUGUGUUCAAUGUUCUUGAAAUUUUUGGGCAUGGCUGCAAACAAAUUUAGCAGUUUUUAAUAGCCAACUAUAGAGUCAAUUUAAAAUUUGUCUAGGUGGUGAGUUUCUAUGGUUUUGUAAUUGGGGUGAAAGGUAGCAAAUACUAAUCUUGUCUAAAGAGCAUUUGUGUAAGAUUACUUGUGAGUAUAGUGGGGCAGCAUAUAUUAGUAUUUUUAUGAAAUAAGCAGAAAAAGGGAUCCCUUUCUAUUGUCAGCAAUAAAAAGAAUUUUCAAAAAUGUAAACACCAAGCGUUCUAGUUGUAUUGUUAUUUGCAAAGAUCUUUUCAAUGUAUUUGUAGAUCCCAACAUACCUUGAUGCAUGAUCAAUUAGUCUGAAGAAUGUUGAGGAUUAUGUCAUUUUGAGCUGUUUAUCAGGUAGUUUGAGGUUAGAUUUGUUUUUUGGAGUAUUAGCUUGGAAUCUGAGUGCUUGCCUAAUUUGGAGAUUGGUGUGUGAUACUUCAAUAGCCUUUUUUUGUGGACUCCCUUUUGACAUUUUGUAAUUAUUGUUCUUAUUAAUACUAAUUUCUCUGUUUCCUAUAAAAAAUAAAUAAAUAAUGAAGGAUAGGUUUUUAUAUGGUAAGGAAUGAAUAAAUAUUAUAAGCAUUUAUUGGAAAAUAAAACUAUGCAGCUUAUUUAGUUGUUUUCCUAUUUAGUGAUAAAUUAAAAUUUUUGGCUUAAUUAUAUUCGGAUAUAUAAACACCAAGUUUUCAGUGUUAAGAUGGAAAACCAACGUCUUUAAAAUUUAUGAAUUGUUAAUACUGAAUCUUUUUUCAGUUUCAGUUAAAAAACAAAAAGGCCCUUCUUUUUUCUAUCUUCAAAUUUUGUGUGAUAGAAGUAUACUGUUGGGCCUUUCUUAUCAACUUUAGCUUUUGGGAUUAUUGUUGGUUUAACUUUAGAAUUAUUUGACCCAGAGAUUUUAUGUUCCAUUAAAUAAUAACACUCAAUACACUGGAUUUAGUUCAUGUUUAUUAAAUUUGGAUUUUUAUGUGAGACGGUACAAGUAUUGGGGAUUAGUGGUCUCUCAACAUUAUGAUCGAAAACCAGCCCUCACUGCCAAUUUGUAUUUUAAGCCCAAUAUUCAGUCCUUGAUCACUAUCAAACUUCCAUAAUCAUUUCUUCUUCAUAUUCUUAUAAAUCAGCCUCAAACUCUAAAGAAAAACCUAAGCCAUUCUCUGUAAGGGGUAAGCGUCUGUUCUUGUUCGGAUGAAGGUGCCAAGUUUUAUUUUGCUCUUUAACGUUAACAAGUCAAUUCCCCAUGAUGUGUUAGGUGAUUUGUUUGUUUCAUGCUGUUUAUUUCCUCGUCUUUUUUUUCUUCUAUCUACUGUUCCUUUAUGAAUUUGCCUCUAGGCAUUUUUGCAGUUGCUUACUAUGAAAUACAAUGGGCUUAUGCUAUAUUUUGUAAAAAUAACUAUGUAAUUCAAUCUCCAAAUUAGUUAAUCUUCUUAGUUGGCUUUGUCUUUGACUGUUUUUUAUAUCAAUUAAUUUGUUUCGUUGUGUACAGGUUAAUUUCUAUUGUUGGAGCCAUGAGUCUGCUGAACACAUUUUUCCUAACAGAGGUUUGGGAUAUGGACUUGCCCAAUUUUUGUCUGUUUUGUUUCUAGGUUAUUAUGUAAAAAUUUUAUAAUGGUUUGCUUUGCUUUGGGUUAUGAUGUAAAAACUUUGUAGUGGUUUGCCUCAAAUGUUUCUGUUAUUAUGUCUUUGGUCUUAUCCUAAGAUACGCUAUAUUCUUAUUCCUCAAUUUUUACCCCUGGAUUGUUUAAUGAGUUUCUAAUUUUGGAUGUAUACUAAUAAAUCUCCAUUUAUCUUUCUUAAUCCUUAGGAUUUUUUUUUUAUUUUUUUUAUUCUUCUUAAGUUGAGUUGUGUAUAGAUCUGUAGGAAAAUCCACUCAAAUUCAAUUCUUAGCAGAUAAAUAUUCCUACCUAUUACAAUUAGCUUGCACUAAGAGAGCUAUGUAUUGUUUUUGCCCCAUUCUUUGUUAGUCUCUUUGAACACUGAAAUUGGCCUGAUUGUUUUUUCUCCCAAAAAUUCAAGAAUUAUUUUUUGUGGUAUACUAAUUGAUUUUAUGUACUUGUAGGUGGGAAAAGAAAAAUGAAGCCGCUUGUGGAUGUUCAAUGACAUUAUGUGCUUCUUUUUGUUGGUUAAUAUUUGUUGAAUCUUAACAUAGUACUUGGUUGUUAAGAGCUUGUCCAAGACUUAAUUUAGUAUUUAUAUUUUUCUUUUCCAAACAAUGAUGUAGUUGAAUGAUAUGAAUUUGAGUGAUGUAUUUGAGAUGUCUCUUAUGCAAUUGUGUUGCGAGAUUUUGUAUAUUUAAUAUAUUUUGAGUUUUCUUUCAGUUGUAAAACAAAUAGGAAAAUAUAAUUAAAAUCAAAGUAUACUAUUAACCAAAAGAAUCAUAACAUCACUAAAUACUGACACUAAAUGUUUAAAAUAACAGUAAUAAUUUUUUAUGUUAUUGAGUCAGUGUGCUCUUGAUACUGUAGUCUCAUAAAUUACUGACAUAUAAAUAGUAUCAUUAAAUACUAACGCUAUCGUGUCAUUAUUUUAGUGAUACCAUAAUGACAUGAAUUACUGACACAAAAAUCGCUGACACUAAAAAUUAGUGUCAGUGUGUUCUGUCUGGAGAAUUAUUGACACAAUUAAUAAGUGUCAGGAAAAGUAAUUACUGACACUAAUUUAGCGUCAGUAAAGCCCAUUUUUCUAGUAGUGACUAUUUCAGUAUGUCUCUCUCUCUCUCUCUCUCUCUCUCUCUCUCUCUCUCUCUCUCUCUCUCUCUCUCUCUCUCUCUAUAUAUAUAUAUAUAUAUAUAUAUAUAUAUAUAUAUAUAUAUAUAUAUAUAUAUAUAUAUAUAAUCAGCUUCAGGUCUGGAAUUUAAAUUUGUAAAGAGUCUACAAUAUCGUAAAUUGCAUUCAUCACUGUUUUACAAUGGUCUAAAUUUUAUUAUAAAUGACUGUCAAAAAAUUAAUACAUGGUUAUCAUUUAUGAUUAUAAUUAGAACAUUAAAAUUCAAGUCGACUCAUUUGUCUUUACAUUGAUGUAUUCUUUGCGAUUAUACUUAGAAUGUUAAACAAUUAAGUUGAAACGACCCGCCCCAAAUCUCCAGGACAAGUCUAUCUAAUCUCGCCUAACCGAAUUAAUAAUAGUUCUAAUAUCUAAGAAUUCUACCAAAACUUCGGCAGAGUCUCUUAUAUAAUUAUUACAUCCCCAAACUUGUAAUUUAUAAAAUUAACACUCCAAAAAAUAAUACAAUAUUUAAUCAACCUCUACAACCAACUUCCUCAAUUUAAACACCAGUAUCCUUCAAACAUAUAAUGUCAAGAAUACAAUAAUUUAUCCUUAAUCGCAAAUAAGUAAUAAAUUAUACAAUUCAAAAUAUCCCAACAAAGCAUCUAUGAUUUUUAACACCAUCAUGUGGCUAUAGUUUCAAAUCUAACUAUCGUUGUUGGAUCGACUGAUGUACCUGCAAAUCUCCUAGGGAGGGGGGGAAAUAUAAUAAAAAUAUGGUGAGUAUAAAACUCAGUGAGCUCAGUGAGUGGUGGGGGUGGGCAAAAUCGGGUUCGGGUCAACGCGAUCGGGUUUCGGGUUGUUCGGGUUAGACAAGAACCAAUUCGAACAUAACCCGAAUUAUUGACCCAACCCGAACCGACCCGAACUGGAUCGGGUUGGAUUUAAAACGGGUUGGAUUGAGUUCGGGUCAAUUCGGGUUAGUUCGGGUCAGCGUGUGUGUGUGCUGUGCAGCUCGUGUGUGUUCUGUUCUGUUCUGUCAUUCUGCAUUUCUGUGUGCGUGCUGUGCAAGUGUGCAGCUUGUGACUUGUGUUGUGUGUGUGCAACAGCGUAUGUGUGUGUGGGUGCGGCUGUGUGCUUUGCAGCUUCUAACAAGUUGUGUGUGUGUGUUGUGCAGCAGCCAAGCAGCGUGUGUGUGUGUGUGUGUACAGUGUUAGCUUAGCUUAGGUUUUUUUUUUUUUUUUGAGAACCCGAUCGGGUAUUCGGAUCGGGUCGGGUUUGACCCAAACCGAUCACAACCCGAUCGGGUUUGUAAAUUUCAAACCGCUCGGGUUUCGAUCCCGACCCGAUCCGACCCGAACCCGAAAUUUAUCGGGUCGGGUCGGGUCGGAUCGGGUAAAAUGCCCACCCCUAGUGAGUGGAUAGUAGUUUAGGAAAAAUAAUUUAUUUAAAAUGAUUUAAUCUUUUCUAAAUCAAUUUCAUCAAAAUAUCAUAAGAACUUACAUAAACUUAUUUAAUUCAAAUCAUGCACUGAAAUAACAAUAUUACAUAAAUCUGCAUAAAAUCAAUGAAAUCAUAAUACUUAUUGUUAGCCUAUAUGGCUAUAAAUAUUGAUUUUGAUGAUAACAAACCACAUGUGUUAGUUAAACAAAGAUUUAUAAAUUGUGCUUUUAUAAUAAGAAAAUGAUUUUAUGGAAUUAAAGUGUUUUGGACCAAAAUAAAAGUAUUUUAUAAUCUUUGAUAUUGUUUUGAAUUUCGGAUUUGGACCUAUUUAAAUAUUUUUGGGCCAUUCUAUAAUUUCACAUAGUUUGGGCGAUAUUCUAAUUUCAAAAAUUUUUGGGAUUGACAAAGUAUUAUUUAGAAAUUCUAAAAUUGGACCUAUUUGAACACUUUCAUAACAUUUUAGGCCAUAAUAUAAUUUUAUAAAGUUUUGGGGUCGAAUUAUAAUUUUGGAAAACAUUUCACUGUAGCAAGCAGAUAUCUGGAUCCUAACAAAUGGUAGACCGGAUUUGGGCAGAAAGCUUCUGGAACUUAAACGGCUAUCCGGAUUUCACAAGCGGUAUACCAGAUGUUCAAAAAUUUAAAUUUUGGCUAUAACGGUAACAUUACGCGGCUAACCGGAUGUCCAUAAAUGGUAAGUUAGUUAUCACCUAAAUGUGCAUAACGGCUAGUUUUUGAGUUCAAACUAUAUAAACCCAAAUCCAAUUCAUUUUCAAGCUCUUUUGCAAACAAAAUCAAAAAGCACACAACAUUCAUUGAGCUCUCAUUUCGCAAAUCAUAAAACCUUGAAUCAUAUUUUGUUCUUCAAUUUGUAUAUCUACUCUUUAAGAGAGUUUUUAUUGUAAUCUUCAAUUCCUCAUCUUAAUUGUGAGUGUUUAAGUGUGUGAGACACUUGAGUGAAGAGAUUGAGAGAUAAUCUCUUUGUUGUAAAGGUUCAUUGACACCUUAAAGUCAAUUGUAACCAUUUGAAGCCUUAGAAGGCUUGCAUAGUGAAAUCAUCAAGCUUGGAUUGCUUGGAGGCGUGGACGUAGCCGGGGAUUGUCGAACCACGUAAAAAUUCGUGUGUUUGUUUCUUUUCUCCCUUACUCAUUUGUUAUUGUACUUUUAUUGAACUUAUUGCUUUCGAAUUUAUUAAGGCGUUAGAUUGGAUUGUUGUGUGGUUUUGUUAGGAUAAUUUUUAAAAAUACCAAUUCACCCCCCUCUUGGGUUGCACACUUGUAUUUCACCUAUAAUAUCAAAUACUGAAUACCAAAAACUAUCACCAAACAAGUACCCGGGGGAAUAAUCUCAUCAUAUUCGGACCUCGACGGACGGGCAAUCAGGGAACCAUCAUACCCCGGAGCUACAACGGAUAGACGGGGAAAUGUCAUCUCAUAUCUCAUGUAUCUCAACAUCUGUAUCUUUGUAAUCAUCAUACUGCAUGCAUAAGCCUCCAAAAGGAAAAAGCGCCCAAACACACAGCCAAAAGCCUCUAUGUGUGUUCAGACGGGCCUCAAAGACCUCUCAUCUCAUAUCAUCUGUAUCAUUGUGUUCAUCUUAUAUUAUCUGUAUCUCUGUGUCUUAAGGGGAAUGAUAUUGUCCAAUGAUUUUCCAAACAACCUUUUAUAAACAUGUACAUAAACAUAUAAUCACAUCUGAAAUCUCAUUUCCUUUUAUUCAACAUAUCUCAAAUCCACUCAAUUCUAAUAUCAUGCAUUUACUCAAAAAAAAAAUGAUAAUAGAAUCAUUAAUCAAACUCAUUUUCAAUACUAAUAAAUAUCAGCACGUAAAAUAAAAAUCAAUUUUCUAGAAAAUCAUUAAAUCGAAGCAUCAAAUACUUAUCAUCAAAACAUGUUGUACUGUAUAGUAAAAUCAUAGUAUACUAUGAAAAUAGGUUUUGUAUAUUCCACUCACAGUGACAAUGUCCAGACUCGGGAUCACCAACGUCCGCAGGUUAAUUCUCGCUCGCGGGUCCUCCUAAUUACAUAAACGACAUAAUUAUUAUCCAUAUCAUGAAAUACGACUAACAGUACGAAAUAAAGCUCAAAACCAAACUCCCGGAUACAUAAAAUUUCAAAAUUACCCUUAUGUCCAAAAAUUACCCAAAUGCCCCUGACACCGAAAUUUACCAAAUUACCAUCAGAAUCAUAAUUUAUCGAAUCAUCCUCAAUAUCUUAAAUUACCAAAUUGUCCUUAAUUCGGAUAACAAAAUUAAUCACAAGUUUUGAAUUUACAAAAUUACCUUCGAAGUACAAAAUUACCAAAAUGUCCUUAAUAACUUAAAUUACCGAAUUACCCUCGAAAUCUCAAAUUACUUCUCUGUCCUAAUCACAAAUUACCAAAUUAUCCACCAUUUUCAUAAAUUACAAAUUUACCCCAAAGUUUUAUGAAAUUACCGAAUUACCCUUGCCGGUCAACGGUGACCUGACUUCAGUCAAUGAUGACGGGAAGCUCAGGUCUAAUAGUUCAGACCUCGGUGAAUCCAACGAUGCUGGCGGUGACCUCCCACGCGCGGCGAUGGUGGCAGAUCGAAGCUCCAAAAUUCGUGAGUUUCCCGGUGUUCGUUCGCGGCCAAGACAGCAUCCCCGGUGAUCGUGGUCAGUUGGAAAGUGAUAAGUGUGAGUUGAGAAACAAGAUCCAGGCAGUGGCGUGGCUAAAAAUCCGACGGGAUCGACGGCGACAGAAACGGGUUGAGUCGCGGCUUUUCGAGCUUCAAACGGCGGCGUUUCGGUCGGCUUUUCUUUGAUUUGUUAUUUUGAGUUGUAUGAAAUAUAGCUUUACUUAUGUUUUUUUUUAUCAUUAAUAGGAAUUUUCUUGUUAAAACUAUAUGAAUUGAUUGAAACUUCAAAUUCAUACUACAACCAUGAUGAUUUAAUAAAACAUUCAAACUAAAUCCACAUAUUCCAUGAGUAAGAACCCUGAGAGCACAUUUAUUCAAGUUUAUGCUUUAAGUAAAAUAAAAGUAGAAAUGAGAAUUUUAAAGAAGAAAUUUAGUUAUAAAUAAUUGUCAAAUAAUUAAUUGUUCAGCAUUUAUUUUAUAGGUCCCACUGUUGGGACUCCAUGUGAUCUGCUAACUGGCAGGCCUUUUGUGGUUAGGCGAACCACAGUAUGCCUGCCCCAUAUAAGUUCCUCUCUUCUCAUAGAUAUAACUAGUGCUAUGUCAUGUCCAACAAGGGCUCUUCGAAACUUUUUAUGUGAAUUUUAAACAUUACCCCAUUACGCUUUUGAAACACCAAAACUACCUCAAAUUUUAAAAAUAUAAAAAAAAAUACAUAUUAAAAGAAUGUUUUAUGUCUUUAGCUUAACAGUUAGCACACGUAUUGUACUCUUGACAUUUUUCUUCUGUAAAUCUUCACUUCUUUUUUCUUUGAUUCUUCACACUCCACUGCUCUUUUAUCUCUAAAAAAUUAAAUUGUCCGUAGAAGCUUACUAUUUAAUUUACUGAUCUAAUUAUUUAGCUCUAAAUAUUUAGAUACGUUUUCUUAAUUAAUUAUCUCUUCUUUAAUUUUUUUGGUAAUUUCUCUUAGAUGAAAGAAUUAAGGUUAUGUCCUAGGAAAAUAUUAACUCUCAUAUUAUAGUGUUGAUAAUGAGGUUAUCCUUGAAUUUUUAACACAUGAAAACACAUCGAGGUAACUAUAAAUUCAUUGAAGGAAAUAUUUUAAUAAAUUUAGAUUUUGGUACAUAUUAUUUGUUGAAUUUUUUUUCUUUCCAAAUUGAACGUAGCCCUUAUGAUAUUCAGUUCGUGAUGGUGCCACUAAAUGUAAAGUGUCGAACUAGAUCAUAUUUCUCCCUUAUGCAAACUCCAUCGUUUAUUUAUAUUUCAAUUUUGUGGCCUAUUGUCGAGUUUUCUAGUUUCACAGAGGGCAUCUUGGAUUUCUCUACGUGGUCCAUAGUCUCUAGUCCAAAUGAAGAAAUCGAAUUCACCAUGUACAUUAGUGUUUUUUUUCUUUUUUCUUUUUGGGCGGGGGGGGAAUUUUUUUAUUGGCACAGGAAGAAAGCUCUUCGGCACUACUCGGAAGAAGAAUAUGAGCAACACAUGGUCCAAUUCGCAUUGUAUGGAAGUAAAACCGAAGCAUUAGACCAAAAGCAAACCUUAUUCAUAUUUUUAGUUACUGAUAACAAUUUCUUUCCCCUCUUAUUAUCAUCUUAAUUAAGAAAUAUAGUAAUUCGUUAACUUUUUGGGAAAUUAAAAAGGAUGGCAAUAUACAAUAUUCUUGUGUUGAUGACCUUAAAAGCUAAUUCCCUUGAAACAGGAAAACUGGUAUCGUUUUUCAAAGCACAUAAAUGAUAUAUCCCAGCUUUCAAUGUGAUCGAAAGAUUUCAUAGCCACACUCGAAAUUAAUAAAUGAUCCCUAAGAAUUCGUUAACUUCAAGAGUUUAUAGAACAUUAAUUGAUCCAAAUCCAAUACAAACUGCUUACUAGUACAGCUGCAAGAGAGCCAUUUUUUUUCAGUAGGCAUAUUAAACAACUGCAGCAGUCACUAGAAAGCUAGUAUAGACCAAUUGUUCAUCUACCAACCAAUUGUGAAAUUGUUACAUCAUUACUUGAACAUAUUUCCCAUCCAAUCGUGGCUUUAUUUUGUUCGUCUUCAUAAGCUUUGUUUAAGAAAUCGGAGUCCAUUCGAUGAGUCUAUCAGCAUUCUUUAACUAAUUAUUAGAUUAAAUGUAUAAAUUUAAAACUAGUAAAAGUUUAGACUAUGAAAGAACCUUGAUUCAUUCAAGAAAUAAUUAAAAUUUUAAUCCUUUUCAAACUGGUUAAUAUUAACCUUAUCAUUAUGCGAAAACACAAUUUAAAAGAAAAAUAAAAUAAAAUAAAAAUCUCACAAAGUUGGUGUGUGGAAUAGUCAAUACGUUGUCCUUGAUUUUUUAUUUUUUAUUUUUUACAAACCCUUAAAGAGUCUAUAGAUGUAGUUAGUGAUAUUACAUUACAUUAAUUGAUCCAAAUCCAAUACAAACUGCUUACCAGUACAGCCUCAAGAGAGUCAUUUAUUAUUCAAUUGGCAAAUUAAACAACUGCAGUAGUCACUAGCAGCUUGCCAAGAGCUAUAGCGUAGAUCAAUUGUUCAUCUACCAACCAAUUGUGAAAUUGUUACAUCAUUACUUGAACAAAUUUCCAAUCCAAUCGUGGCUUUCCUUUGUUCAUCUUCGUAAGCUUGCUUUGAGAAAGUUGCAGGCUUCUUUGGAGUCAUUAUAUCAGCCGUGCUCUCAUUUUCGAGCAUCGAAGAAACUUCCAGCAUAGAAGGUCUAUCGUCUGGGUUCUCCUGAACACACAACAGAGCUAUUUGCAGACAUGUUAGCAAUUUCCACGAGGAAUGCGUAUCAUCUAGUGAUGUAUCCAUUAACCCCAUGCCUUUCCCAUCUUUCCACAGCUCAUAAGCCUGUAAAUAUCGAAUAUGUUAUUGAGUUACAUUCAAUUAAUUAGCACUAUAAAGUUUUGAUCCAGUGUGCAUUAUAAAGGGGGUUAUGAAGAAACUUACAUACUGUACAAGGCUUAAAUUUUCAUUCUGGCCAGAUUGAACGAACAAUCUUCUUCCACUUAUAAUUUGCAAAAGUAAAACCCCAAAACUGUAGACAUCAGAUUUGGUGGAGUAGAUGCCUCUCGUCACAUACUCAGGAGGGAUAUAGCCACUGUUGUACCAAGUACUUACAAAUAUCAGUUAAAUUGUUUGACCUAAAAGGUUAAGCUGAUUGGUAAAGGCUCAACAAUAGUAUUAAAGACAAGUCGAAAAAUAGACGUAUAUACACUUACUGUGUUCCAACAAUUCGACUGGUGUUUGCUUCAAGGUCGUCUUUCACAAAAAUUCUAGCUAAGCCAAAAUCUGAUAUUUUAGGCUUCAUAUUUUCAUCCAAUAAAACAUUACUAGCUUUCAAGUCUCGAUGAAUAAUUGUUAAUCUAGAAUAUUCUUGAAGAUAAAGAAGCCCUUGAGUUAUUCCUUGAAUGAUAUGAAUGCGUUUUUUCCAAUCCAAAAUAAACCUUCGGAUGGGAUCUACAUCAAAUAUAAGUAUAGUUGGACGGUCAGUAGCACUAGCAUUUGGAGAUGAGAAAGCAAAUGGAGGCACAUAAAUUAAGAAUUAAGCAGAAGCACAUACCAAAAAGGAAAUAGUCUAAGCUUUGUUUUGGCAUGUACUCGUAGAUCAGCAUUUGUUCUUCUCUGUCAAUGCAAAAACCUAAAACCUUAAUAAGAUUUACAUGUUGGAGUUUUGCAGUAAGCAUAACCUCAUUCUUGAACUCCUCAAAUCCUUGUUUGGAUGUCUUUGAGAGUUUCUUCACUGCUAUUACCUGUCCAUCAGGUAAUACACCCUGCAAACACCCCCAAAACAUUAAAAAGGAAAAAAAAAUGCAAUGUUCAUAUACAUAUGUGUGUGUGUGUAUUUCGCUAAUUAAUUAAUAAGAUGAGAGAUAGCCAAGCUAUCGAUAUAUAACCUUGUAAACAGGGCCAUAUCCACCCUCCCCGAGCUUAUUUUCAAUUGAAAAUCUAUCCGUGGCCACCUCAAUAUCAGCCAAGCUAUAUUCUCUAAGAUCAGGAUCAUUGCUGUUAAAAUCUCCAGCAUGUGCUUGACUGUUUGCUCCGUCCUUUGAUGACUUGGCUGAGUCAAUUACUAUUCCAAUUAAUAUCAACCAAGGAAAAAAAAGAAAAAGAAAAAGAAAAAAGCUAAUUUAAGUAAAUUGCCCACUUCUUCAGCUGUGCUAAAUAGAAUAGAAGUAAAAAUAAUCCUAAACCCCUGUAGAAGAAGUUACCUUUUAAUUUGAGGUUUUUCAUCCAGCAGUAGUAAUACAGCCAAAAACCUAGUAGAAGAAUACAAGCUGCAGUGGUAGUCAAAACAACUACCCAUAACAGUCGCUUAUUUUGACCACUCUUGUCAUCCUCUUCAGCUGAAAAGUCAAUCACUUUGCGUUGGUUAACCAUUGAUGCUGAAAUAAAGAUCUUAAUUCAAGUCAUUAUCCAGAAAAGUGAUCAACGGAUUGCAGUGAGUGCGGAAUUCCAUUUGCUUACCUGCAGCUUGAGAAAGCAUCCAAUCAUGAUCAUAGGAAACUAGCCACACAUGGUAUCCGCGUAGCUUCUUCUCCUUGGCAUAUGCAACCUUCACUCUAAUGGCCUCCACAUCAUCAAAACCAAACCAAAUCUUCCCAAUCGAGCAGUAGUUCACCACAUAAGUUGAAUUGUAAAUAACUUGGACAUUAGGACCAUAUCUCUUGAUGUGAUUCUUGAUUUCCCUAUAACUCACAAGACCAUCUUCACUCAAAGCUGGUCCCGUUGCUGCUGCACCAAUACCAUUGUCCUCAGGUUUCACAAGCGUCCAUGCAUAGCCAUAGAAAGGCAAACAUAAAACCAAUUUAUCAGCCGAUAACCCUUCGUCAAUCCAUUCCGUGAUUCCGUAUUCAGUAUUAGAGACACUAUUUGGAUCAUACAGAGCCGCAUGAGCACCAGUAAAAUUUGUCCACGUAGGGACUGAGUAAUCAGUAGUGAAAACAUGGACCCAAUUCAAGUAUUGUCUUAUCGAGUCGACUGGAUAAGCUGCUGCUGGUGAGUAUGGUGAAUAUGCAACCGUUGCCGUCAAAAUCAACUGUGAUUGGCUCGAGUUAUUUCUUGCUUCUAAAGCUACGGCAGCUCGCCAUUCUUUAAAGAGAAUGCCAAUAUUGUACUUAUCCCAGCUUGUGUUUGCAAAAUACCAAGACAGAUCUAAGCCUUGAAAGCCAUAGAGCCUUGCUAUUUUUAUUGAGGAGUCAAUAAAGGAUUUCCUGGAAGAAGGAUUGCCCGCCAUGGAAGAAUAAGUUGAAUAGUUUGGAUAAUUUCCUGCUCCGAUGGAAAGAAGUGUAGUGAUUGAUGGGUUCUUUAUUUUGACUGUGUCUGUGAAGUUGGAGAAUUGUUUUUCAUCCGAAGGUAAUAAAGAAAGCUCAUAGGAAGUUGAGUUGACACCAGCAAAACCACACAUCAGGUGAGUGAAGAGAGCAGAAUUUACAUCUGAAACUGGGAACCCAUCGCGUGAAUCCCAGUAACCAGCUCUGAUUAAAGUUUGUGCUCUUGCAGGAAGCGAUUCUGAAAAUAUAAAAAUGUGGAGGACAAGAAUGAUAAUUUUGGAUGCCAUUGUGGGAACCUGGCUGCUUGAGGCAUACCUAGUAUGUGAUUAUAUAUUUGUACACACACACACAAAAUGUAAUGGAGAAAUUAUCCUAUACCGAUUGAGAUUAGUUAUUGCACUAAUAAUGCAAACUUGAGUCAACUUUCAACUUAUGAGCUUAGUCCAUAAGUUUUUAUACGAUAUCAAAUUCAAGUUAUGAAUGAGGGACCCUAUAAUACCUUCCAACCUAACUUAAUAAUUAAUCUUAGCCAAUGUGACAUACUUGUUCUAUCACUUUAUCACGUCCAAGUCGAUCUUUUAGCUUUGUCUCUUUUUCAUGAUAAUAAGUGAUAAGAUUGAAGUUCUUAAAUUAAGCUAUGACUUUUUACCUCCGCUUAGCUUGACUUCUGAAGUUGGAGACUCGUUCUUUUGUAUUGUCUUUGUUGGUAUUUAAAUGAACUCGGAGUCCUCGACGAGUUUCUGAAGCGAAGUCAUUAUUCCUCUAUGACUCCAUCCAUGCAAUUGGAAGGCAAAAUCUUGUGAAAAUAUUUUCUAAGUUGAUUCAGUCCAUGAUCAACGUGCACAAAACGCAAAAUCUUGCGAAAAUCAAACCCGUCCUCACUCAUGACCUCACUUUAUUAAAUUACAGCUUGUCAUUGAAUUGAGUGUUGCCUUAAUUAAGCCAUCAAAUUAAUAAAGUGAUGGUCAUUAAGAAAUACACUUAGUUACUUCCUGAUGGUAAGAUUCAAUAAUAUUCUAAUUUAAAAAAAAAAAAAAAGAUCCAUAUACCUUUUUCUUGUGUAAUUUAAUUUUCAGUCCAGUCCACCCUCCCAUUUUAUCAUAAAAGUGUAUACAAACAUACGUUUUACUCAAUGUUUACUUAGAAACAAAUGGCGCGCGUACGAUUGCCGAUCUAGUACCACUCUCGUAUGCUUGGUGGGAUUCGGCUUCACCAAAUUUGUAGCAUAUAUUUUACUUUAAUGAGAAAAUCAAAUAAUUAUUGAACAAAUAAUUUUUUUUUCAAUAUACUUUCUUAAAAUGUAUGGAGUUGGUAAAGUGCAAAUUCAUUUUUUAGCCCUUUGACUCCUCCAAAAUCAAAACUAAAAUUAAUGGUCAGUUAAAUAAUGUUACUUGAAAAUCAUUUCCUAGCUAGAAUUUGUUUAAUUCUAUUAAUUUACAAUCGUUUUUCAUUUUACUUAAUUAAUUAAAGUGAAUUUAUUAUGUAUACAUUCUACAUACAUAAAGUUUUAAUAUUCAGUGUUGAAUUGAAUUGUACUAAAUUUUUUAUAAUUUUUUGUCAGACCUGCGUUUUUAACAGUUUAAUAGUAAUAUUGAUAGCACAUAAUAUACAGGAUUAAGAGAGAUCGAUUUCGACUGCUACAAGAUUUUUAGGAUUGCAUGCACAAGGGUUUAAAAACAAAGUGUACACUUAAUUACACCAAACGAGGGUGCAUUUUUAUGAUGAAAUAAAAACUACGUGCAGGGUUGUAAAAGUGGCUCCAUAAUUAGCGUACAUUAACAUUCAUCUAGCUACCACUUCCGAAAAUGAUACAUCAUAAGCCGAACAUUUUUCCAAUUUUGUUGUAGAUAAUAGUUCAAUCCCAAUUUCAUCAACUUGUUUUGAGAAAGCAGGCUUCUUGGGAGUAUUUGUAUUUGUGGUUUCAUUCUUGAGCAUUGAGGAAACUUCCAGCAUUGAAGGUCUAUCGUUUGGAUUCUCCUGGACACACAACAAAGCUAUUUCCACACAUCUCAUUAAUUUACAAGGGGAAUUUCUAUCAUCUAGGAAUGAAUCCACAAACUCCACGCCUUUGCCAACUUUCCACAACUCAUAUGCCUGAAAUUAUCAAGUACCAUCUUGUUACAUAAUUUAUACUUCUUAAUUAAGUGCGCAUAUGUGUACUCAGGGUUACUAUAGCCGAAGAAACUUACGUGCUCUAGAAUGCUUAAAUUUUCAUUGAUGCCACAUAACACUGAAAGCCUCUUUCCACUUAUGAUUUGUAGAAGUAAAACUCCGAAACUAAAAACGUCUGAUUUGGUAGAGUAUACACCUUGUCUGGCGUACUCAGGAGGAAUACAGCCUCUGCGUUCAAAAUAACCAAGUAUAUAUGAGUAAGGGAUUUUGCAAUUUAAUAAAUUUGUAAAACCCAUUUUAAAUUGUGGUAAAAGUCCAUUCUGCAUUUUAUUAAAGUGCUGAAUUCCUUAUUCGAAACCCAAUAUAUGUAUAACAAACAGAAGCUUGAGUAAAGGAUAUCAUUUAGAUGUAAUAUACUUACAUUGUUCCCACAACUUGUUCUGUAUUCGCUUCGAGACUCUCUUUUGCAAAAAUCCUAGCCAAACCAAAAUCUGAAAUUUUAGGUUUCAUACCUUCACCUAACAAAAUAUUACUGGCUUUCAAGUCUCGAUGAAUAAUAGUCAGUCUUGAAUAUUCCUGGAGGUAUAAAAGCCCUUGAGUUAUCCCUUCAAUGAUAUGAACACGUUUUUUCCAAUCCAAAAUAAGUCUUCUGAUGGGAUCUACAACAAAUAUAUAGUUUUGGACAAUAAGUGAUAUGCAAAUGAAUUUUAUACACAAUUAAUAUUAACUUGAUUUCAGAACAAACCAAAAAGGUAGCAAUCCAAGCUUUUGUAUGGCAUGUAUUCGUAGACCAGCAUCUGUUCCUCACUGUCAAUGCAAAAACCUAAAACUCUAAUAAGAUUUACAUGUUGGAGUUUUGCAGUAAGCAUAACCUCAUUCUUAAACUCCUCAAAUCCCUGUGCGGAUGAUUUCGAAAGUUUCUUCACUGCUAUCACCCCUCCACAGGGUAAUACACCCUGCAACCCAAAAAAAAAAACCACGUUCAUAUAAAGCUUUCACUAAUUAGAGAAGCUGAGAAAUGUUAGCCAAACAAUAUGCUACCCCCCAAAGUUGAGGGCACCAUUUUAAGUCCUUUAAGUCCCCAUGGACGCAAAAUGUAAAUCUCCUCUCACAGAAUAUGGAUAUGGGUAGAGGUAUCUUCCUAAAAUAUUAGUCGAAGUAGUUAUAUCCCUCUAGUGUGAGGUUAGAGGUCUCAUCUCUAAUAGGCAUAGAUUUUUAAAUUAUAUGUUUUGGGCCUCUGAAUUCUAUGACGAGUGUACAAAUUCAAACUUCCGAUAGGAUCCAAAUUGCAACAUUGUGGAUUGUAACAAAUUAAAAUAUAGGUAUACACACACACACACACAUAUGUUACCUUGUAAACAGGACCAUAUCCACCCUCCCCAAGCUUAUUUCUAAUUGAAAAUCCCUCGGUGGCCGCCUCAAUAUCAGCCAAACUAUAUACUCUGAGAUUAGGAACAUUUAUGUUAAAGUCUCCAGCUUCUGUUUCAUUAUUUGCUCUCGUGUUUGAUGCUUUAGCAGAAUCCUCUGUUCCUAACAUCAACCAAGAGUAAAUAUUAGAUAAUUAAUUGUAUGUCAGCCUCAGUGAUAUAUAUGUGUGUGUGUGUGUGUGUGUGUGUGUGUGUGUGUGUGUGUUUGUGUUUGUGUGUGUGAAUGAAAUGCAUGCUUAAUGAUAAUUGAUAGCUGAAGCUUGUUACCUUCUAUUAACUUGAGCCUUUUCCUCUGGUUGUAUUUAUAUGCACAACAGCCUAGAAGGAGAGUCAAAGCUGCCGCUGCAGUGGAAAUGAGUGCAAUGGACAGACACCGGUUGUUACUAUGUUCAUCUUUUUCAGCUGAAGCAGAAGUAAUCCUGUCUUUUUGUGCUGGAAAUAUGUAUAGUUCACCAAUUAAUAAUAACAAGCUUGAGAUACCAUAACAAUCAUUAUUAAUCAGAGAGAACAAUUAUUGCAUAUAUAAAUACCUGCAGCUUGAGAAAGCACCCAAUUAUGAUCAUCAAAAGGAACUCGCCACACAUAGUAACCAAGCAAUCUCUUCUCUUUGGCAUAGGCGAUCUUAGCUCUAACAGCCUCCACAUCAUCAAAACCAAACCAAACCGUCCCAGUGGAGAAGUAAUUCACCACAUAAGUUGAAUUGUACAUAACUUGAACAUUAGGAGCAUAGUUCUUGAUGUGAUUCUUGAUAGUCCUAUAGGUCACAAGGCCAUCAUUAGUCAAAGCUGGUCCUGCUGCUGCUGCUCCAAUACCAUUGUCUUCAGGUUUCACAAGCCUCCAUGCAUAGCCAUAGAAAGGCAAAGACAUAGCCAACUUAUCAGCCGAUAGCCCUCUCUCAAUCCAUGCCUUUAAAACCUGAUCGGUACUUUUAGCAAAGCCGCCGCUACUUGAGCCAUGGAGAGCCGCAGGUGGCGCAGUGAAGUUUGUUGACAAAGGCUUGUAGUAGUUAGCAGUAACUGCAUGAACCCAAUUCAAGUUUCGUUGCAUCGAAUUCAAAAGAUAUGAAUUCGCUGGUGGUGAAUAACGAAAUCUUGCGGUCAAAAUCAGCGGGGAUUGCUGGCGACUAGAGUUUAUUGCCUCUAAUUUUGUAGCAGCAAUUCGCCACUCGUCAAAAAGUAAACCAAUAUUGAACAUAUCGGUGCUUGUGUUGGGAGCUGUCCAAGCAAAAUCUAGGCCCUGAAAGCCAUAAAGCCUAGCUAUUCUUAUUGAAGAGUCGAUGAAAGAUUUUCUGUGAGAAGAAUUUCUCACCAUUGAAGAAUAUAUAGAAUAGUUUGUAUGUCUUCCUUCUCCAAUGGAGAGAAGCAUAGUGAUUGAUAGGUUCUGUUUCUUCACAGUGUCUGCGAAUUUGGCGAUUUGAUUUUCAUCGGAUGGUAAUGAUAAAGAUAGCUGGUAAGUGGUAGAAUUGAUAUCAGCAGAAGAGCAAAUAAGGUGAGUGAAGAGAUCAUAAUUUAUGCCCGAAAUGGUGGACACUUCGCUUAGAUUCAAGUAACCGACCCUAAUCCACGGUUUUGCUUUCGCUGGAUGAAGUUCUGAAUAGAGCAACGUGUGCAAGAUGAUGCUGAUAAUUAUGGAUGCCAUUUAAGACUUUGUUAGGAAUGGAAAUGAAUGCACACU